GGGAGAGGAGGGAGUCGGAGAGGGGCACUGAGAGGACAACAAAAUCCAGAAAUGGCAAAAGGGAAAUGUGAGAGGUGGAUGAAUGAAAUCAAAGUGACAGGAUGGGAUGAGGUUUGAUGAAAAUUAAAGAGGGAGAGAAAAGAGAACAGAGUAGGGGUUUUAAUGGAUUAGCAAGGUUAGGAAGGGAAGAUGGUGCAGUGAAGGGAAGAAUCAUCUCAAACAUUCAACUCUAGUUUACUGCAGCGCAAUGGACUGGGUCAAACUAAUCCUGGUCUCUCACUGGGAUUCCCACCAAACUGCACUCCAUGUGGUCCUCAGAAAACACCUGCAAGACUAGACCAAGGCUCCUGCUCAACAACACAAGCAGUCUCAUGUUUCAGGAGUUUGAACCUCUCUGAAGCUUCGUCAGCAGAAAGACUCCAAUAAAAAGAAUUCCUCUGUAACAAACUAA
Notolabrus celidotus (New Zealand spotty) is the source of this 451-nucleotide long non-coding RNA. RefSeq lists it as uncharacterized. The record is from RefSeq and is a predicted model, not a curated record. Lineage: Eukaryota; Metazoa; Chordata; Actinopteri; Labriformes; Labridae. The transcript is spliced from 2 exons.